RNAcentral lists this ribosomal RNA (425 nucleotides) under uncultured bacterium. Its description in RNAcentral is "partial 16S ribosomal RNA". It matches the Rfam family "Bacterial small subunit ribosomal RNA", at positions 354 to 796 of the family's 1533-position model. The record is from RNAcentral.
GUGGGGAAUCUUGCGCAAUGGGCGAAAGCCUGACGCAGCCAUGCCGCGUGAAUGAUGAAGGUCUUAGGAUUGUAAAAUUCUUUCACCGGGGACGAUAAUGACGGUACCCGGAGUAGAAGCUCCGGCUAACUUCGUGCCAGCAGCCGCGGUAAUACGAGGGGGGCUAGCGUUGCUCGGAAUUACUGGGCGUAAAGGGCGCGUAGGCGGACAGCUUAGUCAGAGGUGAAAGCCCAGGGCUCAACCUUGGAAUUGCCUUUGAUACUGGGUGUCUUGAGUUUGGGAGAGGUGAGUGGAACUCCGAGUGUAGAGGUGAAAUUCGUAGAUAUUCGGAAGAACACCAGUGGCGAAGGCGACUCACUGGCCCAAUACUGACGCUGAGGCGCGAAAGCGUGGGGAGCAAACAGGAUUAGAAACCCGUGUAGUCC